Molecule: unclassified non-coding RNA, 200 nt
Filed under: soil metagenome
Description: partial contains internal transcribed spacer 2 and large subunit ribosomal RNA
Source: RNAcentral
AGCGUCAUUUCCACAAUCAAGCCUUGCUUGGUGAUGGGCGCCUGUCCCACCUCAGUGUGGACUCGCCUCAAAUGCAUUGGCGGCCGGUUACAUUGGCUUCGAGCGCAGCACAUUUGCGAAACUCGGUUCCAUUGUUCCUGGCUCCCAGAAGCUCUCUCCAGUUUGACCUCGGAUCAGGUAGGGAUACCCGCUGAACUUAA